This is a long non-coding RNA of Nothobranchius furzeri (turquoise killifish), 5481 nucleotides long. The record is from Ensembl. NCBI's taxonomy places the organism in Eukaryota, Metazoa, Chordata, Actinopteri, Cyprinodontiformes, Nothobranchiidae.
AUGGGUGUGGAAGCGGCGUUCCAGAUGACACGGUUCAAUUACACCAAGACGGACCUCCGGGAAUCACUUUCACAUCGGGUCAAAGAAAAAAGGAAGAAAGAAAACACCAUUCACACGCGUCAACACACACCACAUCAAUGUGUGUUUAAGGAGCAGAAUCAGGAUUCUGGUUCUCGUGAAGGCGGAUCCAGGGAACAGACCCAAGGGCAGGGGUACUCUCAUCAUCUGCCUGUUACCAGCUCGUCAACCUGCACUCUCACCUGUUACAACAAGGCGCCUCCAGAUCUCCUGUCCACCCCGCCACACCGCUUCUCCCUUUGGCCGUCUGCUCUCCUGCGCUCACCUGCCCGCUCCUGGAACCGGUGCUCAGCUCCCAGCCUCCUCCAACAGCUACCACUCAGACCUGACAAGCCCUCCUCUCAGCGCUCCACUAUCUCACUGGAAUCCGUAAGCCUCCAUUCGAAUCACACCUUCCCCGUCUGCUUUACAUUACACAUUCUUGUUCUCUGUCUCAGAACGCUGCCAGAACCGCCCUCCUCCGACGUCUCCCCAGACUCGUCAAACUCAAUAAAUAAUAUAUUAUUUUUACUCACCUUGUCUCUUCGUGAUUCUGCAUGUCGUGGGUCAAAAGACUCGAUCCUACAUGACUACGUUGGGGUUUACCCCAGUGAAUGAUAGGAUAGCCUCCCUCCGCCUACAUGUGGGGGGACGGGUUCUGACUGUGGUCUGUGCUUAUGCACCAAACUACAUGUCAUGUUCUGUGUCCCUUUGUUCCCCAGCCCCUCCAGUUCCCACUCCAGUUUUUCCUCUUGUGUCCCAUUACUAUCCCCAGCCCUCUGUAGACUUCCCUCAGGUGUCUUUCUAAUCAUUCCCCAUUCCUUAUCAAUCUUUAUUUAGUCCUCCUUGUCUGUCUAGUUAUUAGUUGUGUAUUUUUGGCCCUCAGUCUUUAGGUUUAGUUUUGUGUUUUAUAGUUUUAGGUUUAUCUGCCCUCCUCUGGUUCUGUUCCCCAUUUAGAUAAUAUCAUGCACAUGCUUUCCCUCCAGCCUUCACUCCACACACCUGCUGCCUGUUUCCCUAAUUGCCCCUCUGUGUGUAUAUAAGCCUUGUCUUGUCAUUCAGUGUUUGUUGGUCCAUUGAAUUCAUCAGCGUCUUUCUGUCCUCCUCGUGUCCUCCUGUUCCGUCCCCACUAAUUAGUUUUCCGUUGGUUCUGGUAAGGUUUAUGUUUGGUUCGUUUAAGUGCCCUUUUGCAUUUUGGCACCUCCUCCUUUAAACUAAAAGAUUUUUUUUGAAAACUCCUCCUGCCUCGAGUCGUUCUGGGUUCUGCAUUUUGGUUUCCACCUCCUCCAUCCUGACCAUGACACUAGAGUUCAGACUACCCACCCUUUUUGGAGACCUUGGAGGGGGUGCUGGAAAGUGCUCCUUCCGGUGACUCCCUCGUUCUGCUGGGGGACUUUAACGCUCACGUGGGCAACAACAGUGAGACCUGGAGAGGUGUGGUUGGGAGGAAAUGCCCCCCCGAUCUGAAUUCGAGUGGUGUUUUGUUAUUGGACUUCUGCGCCAGUCAUGGUUUGUCCAUAAUGAACACCAUGUUCAGACAUAAAGGUGUCCAUAUGUGCUCUUGGCACCAGGAUACCUUAGGCCGCAGCUCGAUGAUCGACUUUGUUGUUAUUUCUUCUGACCUGCGACUGCCUGUCUUGGACACUCGGGUGAAGAGAGGGGCAGACCUGUCAACUGACCACCACCUGGUGGUGAGUUGGCUCAGAUGGUGGGGAGGAUGCCGGUCAGACCAGGCAGGCCCAAACGUAUCGUGAGGGUCUGCUGGUAACGUCUGGCAGAGUCUCCUGUCAGAAGGAGCUUCAAUUCCCACCUCCGACAGAACUUCCAAAAUGUUCCGGGGGAGGCGGGGGACAUUGAGUCUGAAAGGACCCUGUUCCGUGCCUCCAUUGUUGAGGCGGCCGACCGGAGCUGUGGUCGCAGGAUCGUCGGUUCCUAUUGUAGUGUAGUUAAUCUACAUAACUAGGAUUUAAUGCUGUUUGCUAUCAGCUUUGCUAAAUCCUGAGAAACAUCAAACAAAUUGGCAAAUGAACUUAUAUUAUAUAUAGAUAUCCACGGAUAUUUAUAUAAUCGAUAGAAGUUCAUACACCAACUGGCCUGGUCUAUAUUUAAUCCAAAGAUUAAUAUUUAAUUUAAGAGAUUUAAAUUAAUAGCAAAAGUUUAUUUAUUAAUUCAGAAGAUUUAAAGAGAUCUUUGCUCGUUCAGUGACCAAGUAUACACCAUUCUGUGAUUUCUUUCAAAGAAGAGUCAGGUUUAAAAAGUUAAGAAUUUAUUACUAACAAUUUAAAGAUGACAAUGUAAAAGACAAUUCAUAAAUGACAAUUUAUAAAAGCUUUGAUUUUAAAACUUGGUAUUAAAGCAACCUGUGUCUGGAUGAAAACUAAAAAUGAGAUGUGUGUGUGUUUGGAUGUGUGAAUGGAAGGUCUCAGAAGGUUUCUAUCAGAGAGAGAAAAUGCAUUCUGGGUGAAAGAGUUUGUUUUGCAGCUAAGUUAUUUCUUAAAGUAACAGGCGUACAGACGCAAUCUGUGUUCUACCUCACCGUUCAGACGACCCUCUGUUUGGAUCCGGAGGUCAAGGGAGGAUGUUGAUUAGCCUCGGGGUACUCAGUCCGGUAGAAGAGACCAGUGGUACCGACUCUCUGGUCCUAGAGUUGCCGCAGGUACACAGGUGGAUGGUUUUGCGUCUUAAAUUAACUCUGAAGGAGUUUUGCACCAGCUUGUUGCAGAUGACAUUUCUUGUUGAAGCAAUUCUAUCGGCGUGACAGAAAAGCUUAGUAGAGGUUUCGAGCGGCCGACCCGAUCCUCUGGGACUCUCGUGCCACGGAGAGAUUUUGGUGAGCUCAAGAACUGAAAUUGAACUGAGGAGUUUUGGUUAUAACAUAACUCAGAACACGCCCUCUCAGAGAUGGAAAGCUUUGUCGUUAUGGAACAAAGACAUGUGAGUGCAGUUACCUUUACCCUGAUGUCUGUGUCCUGCAUGGUGUGUAUAAGUGCACAAGACCUUCUUGUCACUGAUCCAGGUCCGGAGUCAAGGCCGGGCCUGGGCGGGCCCGGCCCGCCCAUUUGCCGAUCUGGCCCGCCCAGGACAGAUUACAGCACCGUAUGCAAAUGUAUUUUCUCGAGACGAUCAACAGAGGGUGCUCUAGGUUACUAAUCGAUAGUUUUAGAUGCAAUAGAAGAAGACGCUUUGGUACAGUAGCUUGCUAAAAUGGAUAUCAGAGCUUGGUUUAGCAAACAGAAAAACAAUGCUAGCACAAGCAGGGUCUCCAGCACAGUCUCAGCUGGCAAUUGCGCCACCGAGUGGUAGCAGCACCAACAUAAAUCGCUGUUCAGAUGACCUCGGGGUGGAUAAGCCUAAUCAGGUGCGCCUGGAAAAUUAUCCAGUUCGACUUUUCUCUGGGAAAAAACACAGUUUUUCUUCAUCAUGGUACCAAAAUAGAACAUGGUUGGAGUAUUCAGUGAAAACAGAUGCAGCAUACUGUUUCCCCUGCAGACAGUUUAGUUCUCAUUCCUCAUCAAACUCUUUGUUAUCAUUUUGAAUUUAGGGGUGUCUGCUGUCCUUUUGAUUCAAAUGUUUUAAAACGCAUAUUAAAGGUUAAACUGUUUUUGAACCAUCUUAAAUACAGGUUUGUCUGUUCUCUUUUUAGAAAGAAAACACUCUAGAUUUUCUAAAUCUUGUUUAGAAGACCUAGGUUACACUUCUUACCAGCUGGUAGCAGUAACGCACCAAGUCAAUGUUUACCCAGAAGAAGAAGCACUCAGCCAAGAAGUAGCAUGCUAACCUGAUGCUAACUAGUAUUCGUGAUGUAAGCAUUAUGAGAAAUACGUGCAAAAAGAAUAAUUUACUAAGGUAUCAAGCUGCAGGGCAGGAUUUGGAAGAAGACUUUUGGACUAAGUACGUUAUUGGAGAACAUUAACUGGACGUUAGGAUUGUUUUCAGAUGGUGACUGUGGUGCGCAGGCGCAGCUAAGAACGGUGAGUUGCAAGUAUUGGUUCAGUAAAAUUGGUGUUGUCUUAAGUUUUGAUUGCAUCUUUAAUUGGCAUACAUAAUCUGAAUAUAACAAUGAAGAAUCUUAGCUUUUCAGUUAGUUAUGUAGAACAAGUUGGUGACGCAAAACGACGGAUUUGACCCGGAAGUAUAUGUAUGUAACGUCCACCAGACAGAUUAUAAACAUGCAAAGGGGUUGAAAAAAACACGGUUUACUGCCCCCCCCCCCGCCCACACACAAAAAAAAAAGAAACCCACUACCCCUCCAGGUGAAGUCCUCUGGCGCUGGGUCUGCACUGAUCAAACAUUACUGAUUAUCAUUAAUAACAAUUAUUAUUAACCAAAGAAUAAUAAUUAAUUUCAGUAAUUAAAUACAUUUAUAAUGAACCUUUGAUGAUUAUUUAUUAACCUUGUUAUAGACAGUGAAGAGUUUAUUAAAAAUGAUUCUUUGAAAUCUUGAAGUGUCCAUCUUGUGGAUGGAACAGCAGUCAGAUAAAGCAGUCAGAUUAAAGAUGGUUUACAGCAGACUUUGUGUCUCCUGUGAUGGAUACUCUGUAAAUAGAAGUACAGCCAGGGCAGCUUGACCCAGCUGAGUAAGUGUGACUGAGUCACAAAUUAAGCCAUUCAUGUCACUACACUGUCGUGGUGGCAACCCCGAACCCGCUGUUGUACACUUGCAGUUAGGGAUGCUGACAAGCUGAAGAAAGAGUCCUAUCAGGUCUUUUUGGCCUGUGGGACUCCAGAGGCAGCUGACAGGUACUGGCAGUCCAAGUGGAACGCGGCUCGGGUGGUCGCCAAGGCAAAAACCCGGGCAUGGGAGGAGUUCAGUGAGACCAUGGAGCAAGAAUUCGAGGAGAUUCUGGUCCACCAUCCGGCGCCUCAAGCGGGUAAAACAGUGUGCUACCAACACUAUCUAUAGUGGGGACGGUGUGCUGCUGACCUCUACUCAGGACGUUGUGGCUCGGUGGGCAGAAUACUUCAAAGACCUCCUCAAUCCCACCAACACGUCUUCUAGUGAGGAAGCAGAGUCUGGGGACUUUGGGUUGGCUUCUCAAAUAUCUGGUGCUGAGGUCAUUGAGGUGGUUAAAAAGCUCCUCUGUGGCAAGGCUCCAGGGGUGGAUGAGAUCCGCCCGGAGUUUCUUAAGGCUCUGGAUGUUGUGGGGCUGUGUUGGCUGACGCGGCUCUGCAAUAUCGCGUGGACAUUGGGGGCAGUCCCACUGGACUGGCAGACCGGGGUGGUGGUCCCAUUAUUUAAAAAGGGGGACCGCAGGUUGUGUUCCAACUACGGGGGGAUCACACUCCUGAGCCUUCCUGGUAAGGUCUAUUCAGGGGUUUGGAUUGUUGAACCUCAGAUUCAGGAGGAGCAAUGUGGUUUUCGUCCUGGCCGUGGAACACUGGACCAGCUCUAUACCCUUAGGGGGAUCCUGGAGAGUGCAUGGG